Molecule: long non-coding RNA, 2376 nt
Organism: Helianthus annuus (common sunflower)
Lineage: Eukaryota; Viridiplantae; Streptophyta; Magnoliopsida; Asterales; Asteraceae
Exons: 5
Source: RefSeq, a predicted model, not a curated record
UUAAUAUCACAAUGGAAAUGAACAGUGUAUAUCUCGUGGUUUAUUCUGACUGAUCAAUUUGGGCGGCCAUCCACCUUAGAGACGUGUGUCUUCCAGCUUAUCAACACCUCUUUGAAAGUCUCGACCUAGACUUAAAGAGAGAGAAAGGGAAGGAGAGGGGCGGUGACCGGAGUGUCACCACCACUCUAACCAAGGUUUCUAGGGCUUGAGUUCGAUUUGAUUCGUGAUUCAAGGUUUCUAGGACCUCACUUUCUGAUUCAAGGUAAGUACUGAUUAUAUAGGUGACCAGAGUGUCACCACCACUCUCCACCACUCUAAUCAAGGUUUCUAGGGGCUUCAGUUCGGUUUGAUUCGUGAUGCAAGGUUUCUAGGACUUCAAUUUCUGAUUCAAGGUUCUAUUACCCAUUGUUGAUGGGUCAGAGUAGAUGGAAGUUGUCAUGAUAAUUGUUGUUCUUUGACGUGCAAAUGCCGAAGUGUCACCACUGGUGGAUUCAGGUCGUCUUGGCGGCGGCGAUUUUCAACGUAAAACCCUAGCCGAUGUUUUAGGCGAUGGCGGUCGGGGUUCAUGAGAGGUUUCAGUCUUUCACCUACCUGACGAUGAUGAUGGCUUGCUACCUGGUAUGGCAACUCCGGUUGCAACCGUAGCGCCACUGAGCGGGUUCAACGAUGAUGAUGAUCUUUUCGGAUCCGAGUCGAUUUGUGUUGCUAAUUUCGUUUUUUUUUUGUUUGCUUUAUGAGAUUGAUUAUACGAUUGUGUUUGUGGUGUUGGUCAUGUUGUUUCUCGCUGUUGUUUCGGCCGUGAUAUUUGUGGUUGUGCUGUUGAUAGUAAUAAUGAAAAGACAAACUUUUUUAUCUUCAUGGUUAAAAGUACACACUGUAUGUUUGUCGAUUGAUUUCGGGAUUUGAAGCGUUAUCCGGCGAUAAUGGUGGCUUGCUACUUGGCGUGGCAACUAUGUUUGCAGCUGUAGCGGCAUUGAGCCAUCUUUUGUUGGUACCAGCGAUGAUGAAGUGUUAUUCUGAGCCUUUUAUGCUAAAUCAAUUUGGUGGACCCACCAGAGACAUAAUGGUAAACUUUGGAACAUGAACAAUCACCAAACUAAUGUUAUUAAGGCGCUAGGGGGUGUUGAAGGAAUUUUGGAGCAUACACUAUUCAAGAGAACAUAUUUCCCACAUGGGAGGGUCUUUUUGUGAGAAAGCUUUAGGCUUUGUUGAUUUACAGGUCUUAUGAAUAAUGGGUGCUGAUGAAUAUGGUUUCGAUUCAAUUGUUGUGAUUGUUAUAGGAUGUUUUAUAGCUCGUAUCUGCAACACAAAAGAUUGUCUAGCUGGUGUCGUGAGUCAGGUAAGUGCUACGAAAAUGGGUGGGUCAGUUGGGUUGGUGAUGGGUCAGAAUGGGUAUCUUUAGUAUAGAUCUACUAGGCAUUUCCAUCAACUGUAGUAACAUGUUUGAUUCAUUUAGUAUGUGAAUAAAUUGUUAGUAUAUAUUGACAUGGAUAUAUACACUUGGACCGAGAGUAAUCCAUAACUGAUAGCAAACCCCCAUAUAAUGAAGUUGCAUUCUUUUGAUACAAAGGUAACAUCAAUUUGGACUUUGAACAUACACUAAACCAAUAAAAUAUAAGGAAAUACCAGUAAAAAGGUUUUAAUAAGUGAUGCAUAAAAAGGGAGGUGAUUUGUAACCUGGUCCUAUUUGUCAUUUAGGGUCAAUUUGAUGAACACGCAUUAGGAGACCAUGUAGUACUAGCAAAAAAAUGUUCAUUAAAUAUUUAGUUGCUUCGUCUUGAUUCAUGAAGUUGCUGAAACUUUUGAUGAGUGGUUUUAGAUUUCUGGUGGCUUCCACGUGUGAUAGAAAGAGAGUCUGGGAGACAUAAUCAUAAUGGAGUGGUGGCUGACCACUGCCACCUUUGGCGGCACCACCCGAUUCCGGCACGUCAACGACCCCAACUAACGGUACAAUGGCUGAGCGUUUGAGAGAGAGAGGUUGUGUAGACGAUGGCCUUGACGCCGGUUAGCAUUCCCGACCAAAUCAGACCAGAUUCCGUGUUCCGGUGAAGGUACGACUACGGUUCUAGGGAGCAGUGCUGGCAAGGAGAAUUAGUUGAUGAUCGGGUGAGCAGAUUAAAGCCUGUACGGGAGUUCUUCAAGUGAAUCAACAACUCUCCAGGCCGACUCUACAUAUAUGGUUACUGAAGAAGUGAAGAUAGAUCCAAACUUCCAGUUGCAUCCUUUAAAGACAUGAUUACAGCAGUUUGCAAAUCAAGUUUAAACUUAUAAUAUGCAACACUAUUAGAGGUGGUUUGCUACACUAUACAACGUACAUGUUGUGGCAUCAAUAACACGAUUCGAUUAAGCGCGCCGCAACGUGGCGCUGCGUAAAAA